RNAcentral lists this ribosomal RNA (783 nucleotides) under uncultured bacterium. Its description in RNAcentral is "bacterial SSU rRNA". It matches the Rfam family "Bacterial small subunit ribosomal RNA", at positions 76 to 850 of the family's 1533-position model. The record is from RNAcentral.
AAGCUUGCUUUUCUGAAUCUAGUGGCGAACGGGUGAGUAACACGUAGGUAACCUGCCCAUGUGCCCGGGAUAACUUCUGGAAACGGAUGCUAAAACCGGAUAGGUAGCAGACAAGCAUUUGACUGCUAUUAAAGUGGCCUUGGCCAUGAACAUGGAUGGACCUGCGGUGCAUUAGCUGGUUGGUGAGGUAACGGCCCACCAAGGCGACGAUGCAUAGCCGGCCUGAGAGGGCGGACGGCCACAUUGGGACUGAGACACGGCCCAAACUCCUACGGGAGGCAGCAGUAGGGAAUUUUCGUCAAUGGGGGGAACCCUGAACGAGCAAUGCCGCGUGAGUGAGGAAGGUCUUCGGAUCGUAAAGCUCUGUUGUAAGAGAAAAACGGCACUCAUAGGGAAUGAUGAGUGAGUGAUGGUAUCUUACCAGAAAGUCACGGCUAACUACGUGCCAGCAGCCGCGGUAAUACGUAGGUGGCGAGCGUUAUCCGGAAUGAUUGGGCGUAAAGGGUGCGUAGGUGGCAGAUCAAGUCUGGAGUAAAAGGUAUGGGCUCAACCCGUACUGGCUCUGGAAACUGAUCAGCUAGAGAACAGAAGAGGACGGCGAACUCCAUGUGUAGCGGUAAAAUGCGUAGAUAUAUGGAAGAACACCGGUGGCGAAGGCGGCCGUCUGGUCUGGAUUCUGACACUGAAGCACGAAAGCGUGGGGAGCAAAUAGGAUUAGAUACCCUAGUAGUCCACGCCGUAAACGAUGAGAACUAGGUGUUGGGGGAAUAACUCAGUGCCGCA